ACGUAGGGUGCAAGCGUUAUCCGGAAUUAUUGGGCGUAAAGAGCUCGUAGGCGGUUUGUCGCGUCUGCUGUGAAAACUGGAGGCUCAACCUCCAGCCUGCAGUGGGUACGGGCAGACUAGAGUGCGGUAGGGGAGAUUGGAAUUCCUGGUGUAGCGGUGGAAUGCGCAGAUAUCAGGAGGAACACCGAUGGCGAAGGCAGAUCUCUGGGCCGUAACUGACGCUGAGGAGCGAAAGCAUGGGGAGCGAACAGG
RNAcentral lists this ribosomal RNA (252 nucleotides) under uncultured bacterium. Its description in RNAcentral is "partial 16S ribosomal RNA". It matches the Rfam family "Bacterial small subunit ribosomal RNA", at positions 525 to 776 of the family's 1533-position model. The record is from RNAcentral.